UCGCCGAACGGCUGGCGCGGGUCGCGGCCCGGCGGGCUCCGGUCCUGCUGGGGACCGGGCACCCGGACCGGCUGCUCGGGUUCUACGCCGGUCUGGCAGAC
This 101-nucleotide transfer RNA is filed under the name Streptomyces sp. ADI96-02. RNAcentral describes it as "tRNA-Arg". The record is from RNAcentral. Lineage: Bacteria; Bacillati; Actinomycetota; Actinomycetes; Kitasatosporales; Streptomycetaceae.